Long non-coding RNA from Leopardus geoffroyi (Geoffroy's cat), 2198 nucleotides. RefSeq lists it as uncharacterized. Lineage: Eukaryota; Metazoa; Chordata; Mammalia; Carnivora; Felidae. The transcript has 6 exons. The record is from RefSeq and is a predicted model, not a curated record.
GAGAAGAUUAGAGAUUUGAGUUUAGGGUGCUGUGUGUAGAAAACUUGCACGUGGAAAACACGCAGCCGGGCCGCCACGUGUCCUGAGUGGUAGUGGUGGCGGCAGGCUUCGAGCUUAGGCGUGUGGAGGCUGGUGCUGAUGGCCACGAGCGCUGUGCGCGGCCUGCUUGCUAAACGCCGACAUCCGGCUGGCCAAGCCUGAGCGGCGGCGGGAAAACCAUAUUCCCGGUGUUUGGGGCAGGGAGUUUUACGUUGAGCAAGAGGCCUUUAAUAAGGAGAGUGUCGUUUUCUCGUCGCGGAUCAAAAGGUCAUUUGAAAAUGGGCAGCCCUGACGUUGCCUGAGAUUGAGUUGUAUUGUGCCCAGGUGGCGCUGUGUGCAAACCAGAUUAGUGAUUGGGAAGAUUUUAGUACCGAAAACCUUCAACUGUCAUUCUGUAAGAAUGCUUAGUUUUAAAUAUUUUGGUCCCCUUCAGGAACAAUGGCUCUCAGUGGCAUAACGGAGCUGUUACCUGGAGAUGUUCACAUACAAAGGAAAACUAGAAAAUACGUGAGGGAAUAUUUGCUGGGAAAUUACUUGGUUGGAACCUGACCAUUUUACCCAGCAUCCUGGGAGUUGAUGAAUACUAACAGACCUACAAAUGUCACUGGCUAGCAACGUAAUUUUUAAAUGAGGGGUCGCUGUCUUUCCAUUGAAAGAGGCCAGUUUGCUGUGACCUUCCUAAGAUGUAACCCGUUUCCGGUUAAUACCACCAGAUUUACUUGUGAAAAAUCGAUAAGGAAAAGCUCUUCAUUUAACUGACAUGGGAAGAAAACCUACAAAUCAAGACAAUAUUUUUUUAUUUCUGUAAACAGGUUAUGAAACCGCAUCAGAUUCAGAUUAAUGUAUUUGUAAGAUUUAAGCCAUUACUUUUUAUGUCAUACUGCCCUAGAGAAUCCUAACCUGUUAAGCAGAUUACUUUGUAGAUCUAUUUCUAUUUUAAAUACAGGAAUGCAAAAGAAGGUACAUAUUUUUAAUGGAGAAGUCUUUGAUUUCAGUUAACCAGACUUGUAAUCAGCUUAUUGUGAAUGUUUCACCUUUGGCCACCUGUUUGAAUUUAAAAUCUACGAUUGUAAUUAAAGCUGAGUGAAAAUUUACACUGAAUAUUGUGGAAAAGUCCUUAGAUUUUUAUGGAGAGAUGACUCAUUUUGGCAGUAUCACACGGUACAGAUCGUGUUGGGUUUUGUAGCGUACUGAAUAUUACUGGAUUAGUGGUGAGCAAAACGGAAAGACUGAGUCUAUUACUGGGGGAGGGGAAAAUACCAGGUAUUACUGGUUCUAAUUACUGAAUUCUGGAAUGUUUGGUCCUAAUGAAUUAUAGUUUGAAAGGAUGCUUAAGAUGGAAAAUGUGAGGGACACCUUGGUGGCUCAGUAAAACAUCUCAGCUCCUCCAUGCUGGGCAUGAAACCUACUUUAAAAAAAAAAGAUGGGAAAAUGUGGAAUGCUGAAAAUGAAGAGAGCACAGCAUGACAACGGGUCAUGGGGGAAGUUCACUGAUAAAACCAGACAUUGCAUAGAAUGGAUUUAGUGUAGACAGUAAUAGCAUCUGAUCUAACCAAGAUGGUUUGGCCCCAUGCAUGAUCAUUUUCCCUAAAUAGCUACAUGAAUAAAUUGUUGCUAAGCCUAUACUUCAGUGUUAGUCAAAAGAAUAUUCUUGUCAGCUUAUUAUGAACUACCUUUUUUCCUAAAAUGUUUUCUUAGUGAAAAUACAACGUUGGACCCAUGUAGUUUUAAGAGGCUCAGUGACAACCAUGCCAUUUAGUGGCACACCCACAAAGAAGAGGUCACAUGAGCACACAGUGUGAUGGUGACCACCCACAAGCCAAGACAAGAGUCCUCAGAAUGUUGAACUUCCAGCCUCCAGAACUGUGAGAGAAAAUUCAUUUCUAUUGUUUAAGCCACCCAGUCUGUGAUAUUUUGUUAUGGCAGCUCUAACAGACUAAGAAGCAGAGGAUAAAUGGCCACUGCUAUAAUUUUGGGAGUUUAUAUUUAGCUAAAGAAUUAUGAGUAAUAACUAUGAAAAAAGCCCAUGCAAUGUAAUCUCUCUGGCUUUAUACAUUUUCCCUUUAGGUUUCUAUUUAUUACACUGGAACUAAAUCUACAAUGUACUUUCUUAUUGAAUAUUAGCAAACACAGCUGCUAGUCACAAAGCUUCCUCUCCA